UUUUGAAGUUGCAGCUUUGCAGUGGGAGGCGCAGAUCUGUGCUUGCUUUUAACCUACUUAAGCUCAUCGUGCGUUUAAACCUCCGCCUUCCUCUCACGAGAUGCCGAAGGUGCGCGCCCCCCCAGCCCCUCCGCCGCCGAGCGGGGCGGGCGGCCCGGCCCCGCGCUCCGUGUGCCAGGAGUGUCUACAAGUCCAAUAUUGGAGCAGGAACUGUGGGGCCAGCUUCAUGCAGAUCCUCCUCAGCACACAGCCUUUAAAAAGAGAGGACAGAGUGGGAAGAAAACCAGACAGCACAGAUGAUUUGUUUAAGGCCACAGAAUUCUCCUGAAUCCUAGGCAAACAGCACGGCUCUUCAUGCUGACACCUGGAAAGGCUGGAGGAGCUGGAGGAGCCGGAGUUACUGCUGUAUUGAGCUGAGAUAGAUCUGAGGCUGGCUACAUCCAUGCGUGUAGAGCUUUUGAUUGGAUCUGCUGUUUUGCCUAUGGCAAUCUUUACCGCAAACAUCCUUUGUCUGUACAUCAUUUGAGCAUCUAUACAUGUUCAUUGCCUUAGGAAACUGCAGUUGCACCUGAGAGAAAAUAGAAGCCAACCUGGAAGAAAAAGAAAAGAGAUAUAUAAUGGCCUUGCUAGAGGGAAAGGAAAAUCAGAUUAAUUUAUAUGCUCUGGCUGAUCUCUAAUUGUUUCCUUAAAGAUGAAUUAAAAGCCUUUUUAUUCACAAAGAGCUGAGUUCAGGGCCUUGAACAUCUCCUGUUAGAGUUGAAAACAUCACUGAUAAAGAGUUGCUUUUCCUAUCUUCCCUUAAGUGUCUACUAUUGCAAUGAAAAACAGAUCACUAAAUGCAGCAAUUGGCAGGUAAGUAGAAGUGAUAAUAUUCUUUAAUAUUGAGAGCAAUAUCCUUGGCUGAUAUAAAUAGGUGUCAUCUGCUGACUUCAGUAGAGCUGUGCUUUUUUACCCCAGCUGAGGAUGCGGAUCCUAGAAUCUUAGCUAUGGGCAACUGUCAUUUUAAAUCUGGAGAUAUAAUGUGAUACCUAUCAUGGUUUUCAACAUUUCGAAGCUUAGUGGAGAAUAUUCUUGUGGUUCUUGAAUCUACUAAGGAUAAAGCCUAAGAAAACCCUGAGCACUGAGUUUUCUCUUUCUCUGGGAUAAUGCUUUUUGCUUAUGUCCUCUGUUAUGUCAACAGAGGGUGACAAGAUUAAUGACAUGCAGACCUUUUCCCCUCUAGAGCAGCAGUUCAUCUCUAGUUCACACUGCUACCUACUGAAGGUCAUUUCACCUAACAAAAAAAUGAUCUCAUCCAGUUCAUGGCAGGUAAGAAUUCACAAGGCUACAACCAUGGAAAUGGAGCUUUCACCGUCACUAAGUUGAGUGAGUAGGCAUGGAGGCAGAAUAACACACCAAAAACAGCUCCUGUGGGACACCUCUGGAAAGCUGGGCAGACUUUUCUGUCCAUGACUGAAAGACACCGAGAUUCCCAGUCUAUUAUCUUUCACCAGAAUAACAUUCAGUCAAAGAUAACAGCAAUUGUGAUGAAGAGUAAAUACCUUGGUGGAAGAGUGAUGUGAAGCAAGCUGAUGCAUACUGGAAGCAAAACCACAGAACCACAGCUGAAGGCUGAAUCACUGCUAUAUCUAAUUAAGCACAUCAGUUAAGAUUUGCAAGCUUCCAACUGUCUGAGAAGGGCUGAGAUUGCUAAUAUCAAUCUGUUAUUGUCCUCGCUGCUCGGAAAAGGUGAUGGUGAUAAGAUUAAAGAAAUAACAUUUUGUGUUAAUAGGGUUAGUAGUUUUCUGGUUAUUUUAGGGGGGGAAGGUCAGGCAGGUAGGUAAGUAAUAUUACAUCAUUGUCCAAUUUGGCCCACUGAAUAAUGUCAAGGUAAAGAAAUAAAUUGCUUAUAUUAAAAGUGGUGGUGAAUAACAGCAGCCCCUUGGUUUUCUAAUGUGGUGUCAUUUGAAUUGGAUAUGUUAUUGAAUCAGACAAAAUAUGUAUUUAUGCAUUAGGUUUCUUCAAAAUUCCUACUAUGGUUUUUAACAAGAUGCUGGAAAAAUAGACUGAAAUGCCGAUCUUUUAUUCCCAGGUUGUUUGUGACAGAGAUUUAGCAAUGCCCUGUGCUGAAUGUGAUUCAUGUAAGGUACAGACAGCAGAUACUGAAUUUGAAAGGGGCCUAAUCAGCAAUCUUAGUAAUAAAGAGGUAUCCUAACUCAAAAAUGUUGAUGCACGAAUGAACAUAAUCCUCUGUGUGCUGAGUUACUGUUUAGGGGACACUUGUACUGUAGCAACUACAUUGAAUCAGUUCAGUGCCAUUCACAAGCAAAUUAAGUUGUUAAAUCCCACUCUAUGUGUGUGUCUAAAUGUAUGUAUAGAUAUUAUUUAUUUAUUUUCUGCUUUUCUUAUAUUUUUCCUCUUCCCACUGUAUUCAACUCAUCCCUGGUGUCACUCCAUUGAAGUCAACAGCGAGGUAUCAAGGAGGAAUUUUGCUUUUUUUACUAAAUUUUAAGGAUAAAACUUCCUGUAACAUCUGGUGCGACCAUGCACAGCUCUGAAGAGAACUACUCUAAUCCAGGCAGGGGACUUGUGGGGUGUGGGGGAAGUGUCUCCUGGCCAGAGCAAACAGCUGAAAUCCAGUCUGCGUAGGGUACAAUACUGGGUACCACUGAGUAAGACAGCAUACAGAAAUGCUAAAUAAACAUUCCUCCUGGCCUAUGGAAGUCAAAAAGUGGGUUUUGAGGAACCAUUUGAAGAAGGGUGGUGGGAGAUGUCCUUCUGUACGGCUCAGGGCGGUACUCCAGGUACAGGUGGCGAAGGGCAGUGGUAAAAGAGGGAUGCUGCAGGAGAGGUGAGAGGACUGUGUCAGCUCAUCUCAUUGAUGGCUGACUCAACAAGGAGUCUUUGUGCGUCAGCUCUCCUGGGCAUUUUAUACUUGAAGCUGAGGGAUAAGGGCACACUCAAGAUGGAGGCUGAUCAAAUUACAGUUACUGUGAGGACAAUGCUGUGGCUCUGUAAUCCAAGCUGUUUUGUCCAUCACAUGUAGCCUCUUUAUUGUGUAAAUGAGCACAAAAAUGUGGUGUCCUUUUGAGAAUUAGACUGCAGUUCCAUGUUAUGAAUCUUACAGCAGCAGAUCCACAAAUCCCUCUCCCACCUCUGCUCGUCUCUGCCCGCACGCAAGAGGCUGCUGCUGUGCCAGCUUCAUGGCUUGUGUUCCUGGGAUCUGUGAAAAUGAGCUGGCUAAGAAAGAGAUAAGUUAUAGCAAUAAAUGCAUAGAAAAAUAGAUAAAUAAUAGAAAAAAAGGAAUUAUUUAGAACCAGAUCAUUUUAUAUCUCUGUGUUAGCUGAGCUGGUGCAAAGGGAGAGGGGUAACCAGGCUUUCAUGGGGUGGCAGGGAGGAGCAGAGGGAAUAAAAACUUCAUAACUAAUGCUUCUGUCAAGGGAUUGAAAAUGUCAUACUCCACCCUAAAUUAGUAGGGAUGGGACUCACCUAACUUUACUAAAAAAAUGAUGUAUAUGGGCAUGCCUGGAAAGAGCAAGCUAGAGCAAGAGAGAGAGAGAUCUACCCUGUCCUAUGAGUCAGCUCCCUCUUUCUGUCCCUCUAAGGGAGUCCAGCUGCCCAGCUUAACCAGAUGACUAACUUUUAGAUGGUGAAAGUUAGCUCAAAAGAAGCCUACUCUUAUCUUGUAAAUAGUUUGUAUAUUGUCCAAGUAAAUCCAUUGAUGGGUUUGAUUUUAAACAGAAUGUUUAAGUACCUAAUGUUGAUCUAUUUUUGGCUUUAGUUAUUUUAAUGAUGGAAAAAAAUCUUGUCUGUAGGUUACAUUGUUAAAGAAAUACGAACAUCUUCCAUUUUGUGUCAUUAGUUGCCAAAUAUAGUUUCUUACCAACACCGCAAAAUCAUGUUCUGCUAAAGGAAAUUCCGUAAAGACUUGCUGUCUCCCAACAUCACCUCCCUCUUCUAUUGUUUCUAGAAGGGAUAAAACUCUGGAGUGCUUUAAGCAAAAAUGACCAAUGCUUAGUUUUGUCAUUUGAACAUAGCUUAACCUCUUCUCUAAGCACAGUUUGCCUUCAUUCUCCAAUGAGGGAUAAACCAAAGACAUAUUAUAUUAGAAAGCUGGAAGAUCUUGCCAAAAGAGUCAUUUUAUCUAAUCUGGCAUCGUAAUUGCUACAGUGACUUUAUCAUAAUUUCAUAUUUACUGGAUAUAGUAACCAUAUGCAGUGAAUGUGCUACAUGCUAUACUGUAUACAGCAAAACCAAGGCAGAAUUAAGGUUAUGUAGGUAUUGCAGUUCUGUACCUGAACAAGUUUGGGUAUCACUUCGAAGUACUUCUUGGGUUUAAUACUUUGUUUUGAAGUAAUUAAACCACAGUGUAAAAGAAUUGUAAAAGACAAAUGUGUAGUUAAUCAUACAGCUGUCUUGAUACAGUUUUUGUCUGGCAAUUAUUACAGCACUGUAAUACUGUAACUCAGUGUUAUGGUAUGUAAUAUGUUAUUGUUACCUGGCCAUUGAUCAGCUGAAGCUGGUCUUGGUUUCCAGGCAAAAUCAACACAAUAAGUCCCCCACUGACCAGAAGGGCUGUGUUUGAUUUACCAUAAUCACAAUAAAGUUGCCUGUUCAUAACUAUGGGAUUACUUCAACUUUACUCAUAUUUAUACCCUGCUUAUUAACUAGAUCCAUUUGAUUACUAUUUUCUUAGCUGGAAUAACCACAGAUACCUUUAUUGGACCCCGAGUUGUUGCCCAACUCUUUUAAUAACCCAAAUGCAGUGUUUGUGAUCUCCUGCAGGUGAGGAACAGAGUUAUCUAUUAAAAAAAAAUGUCUACGCCAUUUGUGUGCCACCAUUUGAGAGAGUUUGGAAGGAUUUGGUGUCUUGAAAGUGCAGAUCACCUGCCUUUUGAGGAGCAGACUUGUCAAAGUGAAUGUUUAAAUCUUAUUUGUUACCUUUGAAAAUAUAGGUCAAUCUAUCUGAAUUUACUGUCCAUUAAUUAGUUUUUGUGAUUCUUUCUUUCUUUUUUUUUUAACUUUGUGUAGAAGAAACGGGAGAAACUAACCAGUUUUCAUGUGCCCUUUUUGUUGUUUGAAACUUUGGGUUGUGUUCCUUUCCCAUCCUAGAUUCAGCAUAAGCUGUGAUAUACAGGUUUUCCCUCCCCUUUCUUUCCCAUUAGUCGCUCUAUUAAAUAUGUUAAUUGUAGUGUCCCAGAUUACUGGGAGCUCCUUAAAUCAAAGCCAUGAGACUUGGUAGCAAGGCGCUUAGCUAUGAGCUUUGCUGGUGGUAACUGCGUCAUAUGAGUAUUCAUACAGAACUGAUUGAGCCCUUGAGGCCAGAUGCUAGAGCUGUUUCGUGCUGCUGUGGCACCAUAAAGCAAACUUGAAUUGAGUUUACAGGUCUGCUUGAAGACUCUUUCCAAGCAAGGGAAUCCUACCAUAGUGGCUUUGAUGCUGUCUAGGGGCCGUUCUGUCCCUUGCAAAGCCCAGCCAUCACUGGAAGGAGGCAAAUAAAGCUGGAAGAUACGGGCCAGUGAUUUGGACAGGCGGGUCAGUCACAUUCACUGCGCACUGAAUUCAGGGAAGCUUGGAUGCUUUCACUGGCCACUGUUUUUUUUAAAGUUGCAGAC
Dromaius novaehollandiae (emu) is the source of this 5594-nucleotide long non-coding RNA. RefSeq lists it as uncharacterized. The transcript is spliced from 6 exons. The record is from RefSeq and is a predicted model, not a curated record. NCBI's taxonomy places the organism in Eukaryota, Metazoa, Chordata, Aves, Casuariiformes, Dromaiidae.